AAUAUAUGGGAUUUUGAAUUUUUGCUUGCAACGUUUGACCACUCGUCUUAUUUAAUUUUUUAUAAAAAUUAUUAUUUAUUUUAUUUGUGACUUACUUUGUUAUCUACAGUACUUUAAGCAUAACUUCUUGUUUUUUAUAUUUGUAAAAAAAAAUAAAUAAGAUGAGUGGUCAAACGUUGCAAUCGAAAACUCA
RNAcentral lists this microRNA precursor (193 nucleotides) under Oryza barthii. RNAcentral's name for it is "MIR812 microRNA precursor family". It matches the Rfam family "MIR812 microRNA precursor family". Lineage: Eukaryota; Viridiplantae; Streptophyta; Magnoliopsida; Poales; Poaceae. The record is from Rfam by way of RNAcentral.